RNAcentral lists this ribosomal RNA (372 nucleotides) under uncultured organism. RNAcentral's name for it is "bacterial SSU rRNA". It matches the Rfam family "Bacterial small subunit ribosomal RNA", at positions 526 to 896 of the family's 1533-position model. The record is from RNAcentral.
CAGAGGUCUCGAGCGUUAGGCGGAAUCACUGGGCUUAAAGCGUGUGUAGGCGGAUCGUUAAGUACCUUGUGAAAUCCCACGGCUUAACCGUGGAACUGCUUGGUAUACUGGCGGUCUUGAGCCAGCUAGGGGCUACCGGAACAAAUGGUGGAGCGGUGAAAUGCGUAGAUAUCAUUUGGAACGCCAAUGGUGAAAACAGGUAGCUGGGGCUGUGCUGACGCUGAGACACGAAAGCCAGGGGAGCAAACGGGUUUAGAUACCCCGGUAGUCCUGGCCGUAAACGAUGUCGACUAGAUCGCAGUUCCUUCAACGGUAUUGCGGUCGAAGCAAAAGUGCUAAGUCGACCGCCUGGGAAGUACGGUCGCAAGGCUA